RNAcentral lists this ribosomal RNA (301 nucleotides) under uncultured bacterium. RNAcentral describes it as "partial 16S ribosomal RNA". It matches the Rfam family "Bacterial small subunit ribosomal RNA", at positions 509 to 807 of the family's 1533-position model. The record is from RNAcentral.
CAGCAGCCGCGGGAAUACCGAGGGUGCGAGCGUUAAUCGGAUUUACUUGGCGUAAAGCGUGCGUAGGCGGCUUCUUAAGUCGGAUGUGAAAUCCCUGAGCUUAACUUAGGAAUUGCAUUCGAUACUGGGAAGCUAGAGUAUGGGAGAGGAUGGUAGAAUUCCAGGUGUAGCGGUGAAAUGCGUAGAGAUCUGGAGGAAUACCGAUGGCGAAGGCAGCCAUCUGGCCUAAUACUGACGCUGAGGUACGAAAGCAUGGGGAGCAAACAGGAUUAGAUACCCCCGUAGUCCCUGUCUCUUAUAC